UUUUUUUUUUUUUUUUUUUUUUUUUUUUUUUUUUUGUUAUUAAAAAGCAAUAUUUAUACAAUUUAUAAAAAAAAAAAAAAAAAAAAAUAGCAGAAAUAAAAAUAUCACUUGAAAUAACCAGCACCUUUUCAUAUAUAAAAUAGAUAAAUACAUAUUUAUGUGUAGAUAUUUUUUUUUUUUCCACUUUGGCUAAACCUUUUUUUAGUAUUUAAUUUUAAAAAAAAAAUUACAUCAAGUACGGUUGAGUUUUAUAGGUACAUACAAAGAUAAAUAUAUAUAUUAAAUAAAAAAAAAAAAAAAAAAAAAGCCAUUUUGUGUGAUUUGUUUUAUUGAGUGUGACAUUAGAAUUUGUCAUAACGUUACAAUUUUUUUUUUUUUUUUUUCUGUAUUUCCACUCUUAUAUUUUUAAUAAAAAUUUUUAUGAGCUUUAUGAGGCCCUUAAUCUUAGUUUUUGUACAAUUUUAAGUAUAUACUUAAAAAAUAAAAGAUUGUAUAUGUAUAUAUAUAUAUAUAUAUAAAAGCAUAUGAAUAUAUAUAUAUAUAUAUAUAUAUAUAUAUAUGUAUACAUACAUAUAUAUUAACAUAUAUUAUAAAAAAUGAAUUAAGCCUCAAAGUAACAUUAAAACAUAUUUAAAAAAAAAUGUCUUUACAUAAAGAAAUUUGUAAAUAUAUUAUAAAAUCGGGAUCAAAACCCAUACAAAAAUUUGAAUUUAUACCAAGGAACAGAAAAACAAACACGUUAAAAGAAUUGUAUAAUAAAUAUAUCUUCCCAUAUUUUUUUAAAUUUAUUCGAGCCCCUUAUGAGAGAUGGCAAUUUUGUGCAACCGCAAAAUUUUUGAGAGAUCAUGGUUUAAUGUAUGACGACAUGUACAGUGAUAAAGAUCCAGUUAUAGAAAGAGCAAUUUCUUUAUUGCCUAAAGAUAUACAAAUAAAAAGAUACAGAAGAAUGUUGAGAGGUACUCAUAUUAAUUAUUUAAGAUUAUAUUUACAUCCCUCUGAACAAAACUAUGACCCUUUUAUACCAUACUUAGCUCCAUACAUUGAAGAAGCUAAAUUUCAAUUACAAGAGGAAGAAGAGCUAUUAGGUUAUCACCCAUAUGAUAGAAGAUUAUAUAGUGGCGGUACGACAGGAUUUGGAGAUUUAGAACCAGGAAAGCAUUUCCUUGUUUCCAUUCCUAACCUUUAUGGAGCAGCCAUACCACAUUCAGCAAAAAAAUAAAAUGUUCAACACACUCUUAUAUUUUAAUUUAAUUUUUUUUUUUUUUUUUUAUGUAUAUAUUUUACGUACAUACUGUUGUAGUAUAUGUACGUACAUAGCAUAAUAUAUGUAUAUUCGAAAUUUUUCUAUUAACAAAAUUUGCUAACUCUUUCACCGUUAAUAUAUAUGUAUAUAUAUAUAUGAAAUAUUGCUGAAACUUAUAAUUUGGUUUAUUUUUAUUUUUUUGCAAAAAAAAAAAAAAAAAAUAUAUAUAUAAUAUAAAAAGUUAAAAAUAAUGGUACAUAUAUAGUAUGUCUAUAAAAUAUAUGUACCCACCCUUACGUACAUGUAUGUUUUUAAAUGCACGUUUUAAAUUAUUAGGCAAUUAAACAGAAAAAAAACAAAAAAAAACAAAAAAAAACAAAAUAUUUAAAUGUUUAAUAUAUUUUAGAUAAUUUGUUAAAAUUACAGAGUUAAUUGCUAAUAAUUUUAUGAAUAUCAAAUAAUAUUAAAAAACAGCAAUUUUUUUUAAAUCUUAACAAAAAGUAUAAUAGAAAAACAUAAAACAACAGAUAGAAGCUAAUGGUGCUUAAUAAAAAAAAAAAAAAAAAAAAAAAUGAAAGAAUG
Molecule: long non-coding RNA, 1825 nt
Organism: Piliocolobus tephrosceles (Ugandan red Colobus)
Lineage: Eukaryota; Metazoa; Chordata; Mammalia; Primates; Cercopithecidae
Source: Ensembl